RNAcentral lists this unclassified non-coding RNA (504 nucleotides) under Hevea brasiliensis (rubber tree). The record is from RNAcentral. Lineage: Eukaryota; Viridiplantae; Streptophyta; Magnoliopsida; Malpighiales; Euphorbiaceae.
GUCCGAACCUUUGCAGAUUUCCUCACCAAAAAAAGAACCACAGUAUCAUUAUUAUAUUUACAGAUGUCAUCAAUAAGCCUUUGAUCGUCAAGCGGUUCACCAUCACAAACAACCUCUUGCUGAUCAAGGUCAUCAAACUCCCUCUCCUUCUUUGCAACCUGUUGUUUCACAUACCCAACAUGUCUCCCUCGCUCCACAGUAAAGGUAUAUUCUUUUCCACUAAUAGUUUUAACCUUUAUAACCUGAAGAUCGGAAAGCCUGAGAACCAAAUGCAGAACAUUCCCAUCAGUGACACCAUAGUCACGGAUAAGGGAAUUGCUCCUUGAUAGUUCUCGGCCCGCACAGACCAGUUUUUGGUUCUUCACAACAAACCCUUUACAGGACUGAAUCCGUAGUUUCACAGAUUCAAUUGAAUCAGACUCUAAAACACGCAUUGGAAUCAUAGACCCCCCAACAGAGAGAUAUAUCAAGAUGAACUCAUCAGAGCAGGGGAGUGGUUGGGCA